Chenopodium quinoa (quinoa) is the source of this 586-nucleotide long non-coding RNA. RefSeq lists it as uncharacterized. The record is from RefSeq and is a predicted model, not a curated record. Lineage: Eukaryota; Viridiplantae; Streptophyta; Magnoliopsida; Caryophyllales; Amaranthaceae. The transcript is spliced from 2 exons.
GAAAAACCAAUCAUACAAAUUGCUUAAGCCUUCAUUCCAAGCAAAAUUAAGCUAAUUACAGAAAGUAACUAGUAAGUGGUAGGUUAUCAAAAUGGUGUGCCCAAAAAAUCUGAAGCCACUAAUAUUUGUGUUACUGCUUGUUAUCAUGGCAUCUAAUUUAGCAUCAGGGCAGUGGUGCACCUUGAGAGGUUAUCCAUGCGGUCUGAAUUUAGAUCCAUGUUGCGACGGACUAUUUUGUAGUGCAGCAAUAGUCGGUACUUGUUGUGAAAAUGGUCAUUGGUGGACGAUUGUCUAUAACUGCGAUAAGUGAUGAGCGUUUCUAAGGAUUUAAUCUAUCGAUUGGAUGGAUGGAUGGAUGGAUGGAUGAAAUUGUAGUAUCGAUGUCUUGUUUUUCUUUCUUACUAUUGGGUGUUGUAUCAUUGUCAUUCAUCAAACACGUACGUUAUGUGUGUCUAUGUUAGCAGUGUUACUAGACGAUUUCCCUUCUUUUGCAAUGAAUUUAGCUACAGCAUCGCUGUUCUAGCUGAUUUGUACUGAUACUCCGUAUUAGUUAUAUGCACUACUUAUUUCUGUCUUGUUUGUCGUU